Taeniopygia guttata (zebra finch) is the source of this 213-nucleotide non-coding RNA. The record is from RefSeq and is a predicted model, not a curated record. NCBI's taxonomy places the organism in Eukaryota, Metazoa, Chordata, Aves, Passeriformes, Estrildidae.
CCCAGAUGGAGGAGACAUGCAACAGGAACAUUGAGGAACUUGAGAACAGGCUGUUGCGUGAAAACGCUGCUGGGAUUAAGAAGCAGCUGCCAGUCCCUUUCACGUGCCUGUCCUGUGACCGCAUGCUCACCGUGCAGGUCCCUGGCCAGUACCCCGAGACUCUCCCGUAUUUGCCGCCGCUGCCCCCCAGCAAGGAGCCACCGCACAGCCAAA